CAGUUUUCAUUAUACAAUCCAUUUCAUAUAUAAGUUCACAUUCAAUUUCAUAAUCUCAUUACAAUUCAACAUCAAUACACAAAUAUCCCAUAUCAUAUAGUAUGUUUCAAUCCAUUUUCAUGUCUCAACUAAAUCAAGCUACUUUCUAUUUUAUUCAAUUUAGUCAAUUAUUUAGAUACUCAAUACUAAUCAUAGCAAAUGAAUUCGUACAACCAUUAUUAACUCACAUCGAUACUCAAUCAUGC
This 245-nucleotide long non-coding RNA is filed under the name Gossypium barbadense (sea-island cotton). RNAcentral describes it as "long non-coding RNA (GBAR_LNC017055)". The record is from RNAcentral. Lineage: Eukaryota; Viridiplantae; Streptophyta; Magnoliopsida; Malvales; Malvaceae.